Molecule: transfer RNA, 57 nt
Filed under: Odocoileus virginianus texanus
Lineage: Eukaryota; Metazoa; Chordata; Mammalia; Artiodactyla; Cervidae
Also listed under: 5 other names
Rfam family: tRNA
About the family: Transfer RNA (tRNA) molecules are approximately 80 nucleotides in length. Their secondary structure includes four short double-helical elements and three loops (D, anti-codon, and T loops).
Source: Rfam by way of RNAcentral
UAGCUCAGUCGGUAAAGAAUCUGCCUGCAGUGCAGGAGACCCAGGUUCGAUCCCUGG